GACGAACGCUGGCGGCGUGCUUAACACAUGCAAGUCGAACGGAAAGGCCCUGCUUUUGCUGGUUGCUCGAUUGGCGAACGGGUGAGUAACACGUGAGUAACCCGCCCUUGACUUUCGGAUAACUUCAGGAAACUGGGGCUAAUACCGGAUAUGAGCUCCUGCUGCAUGUGGGGCGUUGGAGAGUUUCGGCGUUUGGGUAGGUAGUCGCGGCUUAUCCGCUUGUUGGUGGGGUAGUGGCUUACCAAGGCUUCGACGGGUAGCCGGCCUGAGCGGGUUAACGGACACAUCGGGACUGAGCUACGGCCAGGACUACGAAGGGAGGCAGAAGGGGCGAAUGUCGCACAAUGGGAGGCAGCCUGAGGGAGGAACGCCGCGUGAGGGAUAAAGGCUUUCGGGUUGGAAACAGAUAUGGCCAGGGACGAAGGGUGAGUGACGGUAAUGGGUAAAGAAGCACCGGCUAAAUACGUG
RNAcentral lists this ribosomal RNA (468 nucleotides) under uncultured bacterium. Its description in RNAcentral is "partial 16S ribosomal RNA". It matches the Rfam family "Bacterial small subunit ribosomal RNA", at positions 28 to 507 of the family's 1533-position model. The record is from RNAcentral.